This 402-nucleotide ribosomal RNA is filed under the name bacterium. RNAcentral's name for it is "partial 16S ribosomal RNA". It matches the Rfam family "Bacterial small subunit ribosomal RNA", at positions 355 to 776 of the family's 1533-position model. The record is from RNAcentral.
UGGGGAAUUUUGCACAAUGGGGGAAACCCUGAUGCAGCGACGCCGCGUGAUUUAGAAGGUCUUCGGGUUGUAAAAAUCUUUUCUAUGGGAAGAAAAUGACAGUACCAUAGGAAUAAGGACCGGCUAAUUACGUGCCAGCAGCCGCGGUAAUACGUAAGGUCCGAGCGUUGUCCGGAAUCAUUGGGCGUAAAGGGUACGUAGGCGGGUAAGCAAGUUAGAAGUGAAAUCCUAGAGCUCAACUAUAGUAAGCUUUUAAAACUGCUCAUCUUGAGGUAUGGAAGGGAAAGUGGAAUUCCUAGUGUAGCGGUGAAAUGCGCAGAUAUUAGGAGGAAUACCGGUGGCGAAAGCGACUUUCUGGCCAUAACCUGACGCUGAGGUACGAAAGCGUGGGUAGCAAACAGG